Molecule: long non-coding RNA, 1307 nt
Filed under: Homo sapiens (human)
Lineage: Eukaryota; Metazoa; Chordata; Mammalia; Primates; Hominidae
Description: HSALNT0097504
Source: RNAcentral
GUACUUUCACCAGCACCCAGCAGUAAAGAAGCCACCCCUGCCCCUUCUACCCUGAGGUGUUGGGAGGCCAUGUGGGAAACAGUAAUAAGGCAUGCUUGCCCUCCCAGCCAGGUGGUAUCAACAGACACCAAGUGAAGAGCUGAAAUUCCCACACCUACUUAGCAGUAACAAAGAUCCCCUCCCCCCAGGUAUCAGUGGAGGCCAAGUAGAGAAUUUGGAUUUCCACCCCUAUCUGGCCAUAACAAUGCAAUGCCUCCCCUUCCCAUGUCAGAGCAGUAUCAAAAGCCAGCUAAAACAGAAGAUUCAAUAAGAUCCAGAGUCGCACAACAUAAUACUCAAAAUGUCCAGUUUCAAUAGAAAACCACUCAUCAUGCAGUGAAUAAGAAAAAACCAACUUAUAUGAGAAAUGACAAUCAAAAGAUGCCACCACUGAUUUGGAUUUUAAAACAGCCAUGCUAGAAAUGUUUUUAUGAACAAUAAGGAACAUGUUUGAUAGAAAUGAAACACUAGAAUGUCUCAGCAAAAAACAAAGAAAAAAGAACCAAAUGAAAAUUUCAGGAAAAAAUAGCCAAAAUAAAAAAUUCAAUGAAUGGGUUCCACCGUAAAAUUGAGUGUAGAACAAUAAAAAUUACACAAUCUGAACAACAGAGAGAAAACAGAAUUAAAAAAAAAAAAUGAACAGAGCCCCAGGGAUCAAACACUUGUAUAAUCAGAUAUCAAAAAGAAGAGGGAGAGAAAGGAUGGGGCUUAAAAAAUACAUGAAGAAAUAAUGGUUGAGACAUUUCUAAAUUUGGAAAAAGACAGAAACCUACAGAUUAAAUAAGGUGAGAAGAUCCCAAACUGGAUAAAUCCAAAGAAAUCUAUGCCAAGACGCACCAUAGAAAAAUUUCUGGAAAUAACAAAAUCUUGAAACCAGCAAGAGAGAAACAAUACUUUACUGACUUACCUACAGGGGAAAAAGAAUUCAAAUGACUGCAUAUUUCUCAUCAGAAACCAUGAAGUCCAGAAGGAAGUGACACAAUUUUUUUUCAAGGGCUGAAAGAAAAGAUCUGUCAACCCAGAAUUCUAUAUCCAGCCAAAAAUAUCCUUUGGAAUGAAGGGAAAAUCAAGAAAUUCUCAGAUGAAAGGAAACUAAGAAAAUUUGUCACUAGCAGAUGGCCCCUAAAAGAUGGCUAAAAAAAAAUCCUCUAAACAAAAAGAAAAUGACUAUUAGAAUAUUCAGAAAAAGGAAGAACAAUGGAAAGAGUAAAAAUAUGGGAAAAUAUAUUUCCUUCUUAAAUUUCCUAAAUUAUGUUUGGUGAUUAAAG